Molecule: ribosomal RNA, 557 nt
Filed under: uncultured bacterium
Lineage: Bacteria
Description: bacterial SSU rRNA
Rfam family: Bacterial small subunit ribosomal RNA
Source: RNAcentral
ACGGGUGAGUAACGCGUGGGAAUCUACCUUUUGCUACGGAAUAACUCAGGGAAACUUGUGCUAAUACCGUAUGUGCCCUUUUGGGGAAAGAUUUAUCGGCAAAGGAUGAGCCCGCGUUGGAUUAGCUAGUUGGUGAGGUAAAGGCUCACCAAGGCGACGAUCCAUAGCUGGUCUGAGAGGAUGAUCAGCCACACUGGGACUGAGACACGGCCCAGACUCCUACGGGAGGCAGCAGUGGGGAAUAUUGGACAAUGGGCGCAAGCCUGAUCCAGCCAUGCCGCGUGAGUGAUGAAGGCCCUAGGGUUGUAAAGCUCUUUCACCGGUGAAGAUAAUGACGGUAACCGGAGAAGAAGCCCCGGCUAACUUCGUGCCAGCAGCCGCGGUAAUACGAAGGGGGCUAGCGUUGUUCGGAUUUACUGGGCGUAAAGCGCACGUAGGCGGACUUUUAAGUCAGGGGUGAAAUCCCAGAGCUCAACUCUGGAACUGCCUUUGAUACUGGAAGUCUUGAGUAUGGUAGAGGUGAGUGGAAUUCCGAGUGUAGAGGUGAAAUUCGUAGA